This 464-nucleotide ribosomal RNA is filed under the name uncultured Klebsiella sp. RNAcentral's name for it is "bacterial SSU rRNA". It matches the Rfam family "Bacterial small subunit ribosomal RNA", at positions 338 to 795 of the family's 1533-position model. The record is from RNAcentral. Lineage: Bacteria; Pseudomonadati; Pseudomonadota; Gammaproteobacteria; Enterobacterales; Enterobacteriaceae.
CCUACGGGUGGCUGCAGUGGGGAAUAUUGCACAAUGGGCGCAAGCCUGAUGCAGCCAUGCCGCGUGUGUGAAGAAGGCCUUCGGGUUGUAAAGCACUUUCAGCGGGGAGGAAGGCGUUAAGGUUAAUAACCUUGGCGAUUGACGUUACCCGCAGAAGAAGCACCGGCUAACUCCGUGCCAGCAGCCGCGGUAAUACGGAGGGUGCAAGCGUUAAUCGGAAUUACUGGGCGUAAAGCGCACGCAGGCGGUCUGUCAAGUCGGAUGUGAAAUCCCCGGGCUCAACCUGGGAACUGCAUUCGAAACUGGCAGGCUAGAGUCUUGUAGAGGGGGGUAGAAUUCCAGGGGUAGCGGUGAAAUGCGUAGAGAUCUGGAGGAAUACCGGGGGCGAAGGCGGCCCCCUGGACAAAGACUGACGCUCAGGUGCGAAAGCGUGGGGAGCAAACAGGAUAGAUACCCCUGUAGUC